UACGUAGGUGGCAAGCGUUGUCCGGAAUUAUUGGGCGUAAAGCGCGCGCAGGCGGUCCUUUAAGUCUGAUGUGAGAGCCCACGGCUCAACCGUGGAGGGUCAUUGGAAACUGGGGGACUUGAGUACAGAAGAGGAAAGCGGAAUUCCACGUGUAGCGGUGAAAUGCGUAGAGAUGUGGAGGAACACCAGUGGCGAAGGCGGCUUUCUGGUCUGUAACUGACGCUGAGGCGCGAAAGCGUGGGGAGCAAACAGG
This 253-nucleotide ribosomal RNA is filed under the name uncultured bacterium. Its description in RNAcentral is "partial 16S ribosomal RNA". It matches the Rfam family "Bacterial small subunit ribosomal RNA", at positions 524 to 776 of the family's 1533-position model. The record is from RNAcentral.